This 516-nucleotide long non-coding RNA is filed under the name Ananas comosus (pineapple). RNAcentral describes it as "long non-coding RNA (ACOM_LNC035711)". The record is from RNAcentral. Lineage: Eukaryota; Viridiplantae; Streptophyta; Magnoliopsida; Poales; Bromeliaceae.
AAUACAAAGGGUUUCGUGCUUUCAAAUUAUUUUCGAUGAUAGCACUUUUGAUUCAGCGAUUGACUUUGUUAGACAUAAUUUAUAGUAUUAAAACUCUCUAAAAAUUAAUUUUAUAAUUUUUUAUUUUAUUUGUAUAGUAAACGAGUGUCUUAAAAUAAAUGACUGAAAAUAAAAAUUUCAUAACGAAUAGUAAUAAAAGACUUAUAUUUCAAAUCGAAAGAAUCGACCCUAUUUUUGAUGAUAAGUAAAAUUUUCUAUUAAAGUUUUAUCUAAUUUGAAUUGUUCUAUACUGUUGAACUUACAAAAGUACUACAUCGACCAUUAAAAUAUUAAUUUUAACACCCUUUGAUCACUUGACAAAUAAUGUUGAAAAAUUAUGAAGUUUAGUUUCUAAUAGUUCUAAUAGCGUAAAUCUAACUUUAAAAACUUUAUUAACCUUUUCAAUUAAUAAUUUUUUAUUUAUGAUUAAAAUUUAUAAUAUUUAUUGCAUGACUCUUAAAAUACCGUUGAACACAU